GCGCCCGUAGCUCAGUUGGAUAGAGCGUCGGACUUCGAAUCCGCAGGCCGUGCGUUCAAGUCGCACCGGGCGCG
This 74-nucleotide transfer RNA is filed under the name bacterium. Its description in RNAcentral is "tRNA-Arg". It matches the Rfam family "tRNA". Rfam says of the family: Transfer RNA (tRNA) molecules are approximately 80 nucleotides in length. Their secondary structure includes four short double-helical elements and three loops (D, anti-codon, and T loops). Further hydrogen bonds mediate the characteristic L-shaped molecular structure. tRNAs have two regions of fundamental functional importance: the anti-codon, which is responsible for specific mRNA codon recognition, and the 3' end, to which the tRNAs corresponding amino acid is attached (by aminoacyl-tRNA synthetases). tRNAs cope with the degeneracy of the genetic code in two manners: having more than one tRNA (with a specific anti-codon) for a particular amino acid; and 'wobble' base-pairing, i.e. permitting non-standard base-pairing at the 3rd anti-codon position. The record is from RNAcentral.